CAAUCACUUGUCCUUUAAAUGGGGACCUGUAUGAAUGGCACGACGAGGGCUUAGCUGUCUCCCCUAUCCUGUUACUGAAAUUGAUCUCCCCGUGCAGAAGCCGGGAUAACUACAUAAGACGAGAAGACCCUGUGGAGCUUUAGACACUUAAGCGACCCAAAUAGAGCAACUCACCACAAAUGAGCUGACUCCCGAUGGUAAGACACCGUUUAGUGUCUUUGGUUGGGGCGACCGUUCGGGAAAAGAAAACCCCAUGAGGACCUGGGGCGACCCCACACAUAGCCGAAGCCACCACUUCGAGGCAUCAAACCCUUUCCCCUAAUGUCCGGCCCAACCGGCGAUCAACGAAGCCGAGUUACUCCUCAGGGUAACAGCCAAUCCCCUCCCAGAGCCCA
Molecule: ribosomal RNA, 395 nt
Filed under: Chlorophthalmus sp. WJC-2004
Lineage: Eukaryota; Metazoa; Chordata; Actinopteri; Aulopiformes; Chlorophthalmidae
Description: partial 16S ribosomal RNA
Rfam family: Bacterial large subunit ribosomal RNA
Source: RNAcentral